RNAcentral lists this ribosomal RNA (2899 nucleotides) under Acinetobacter baumannii IS-123. RNAcentral describes it as "bacterial LSU rRNA". It matches the Rfam family "Bacterial large subunit ribosomal RNA". The record is from RNAcentral. Lineage: Bacteria; Pseudomonadati; Pseudomonadota; Gammaproteobacteria; Moraxellales; Moraxellaceae.
AGUCAAGUAAUUAAGUGCAUGUGGUGGAUGCCUUGGCAGUCAGAGGCGAUGAAAGACGUGAUAGCCUGCGAAAAGCUCCGGGGAGGCGGCAAAUAUCCUUUGAUCCGGAGAUGUCUGAAUGGGGGAACCCACCUACUUUAAGGUAGGUAUUGCAACAUGAAUACAUAGUGUUGCAAGGCGAACGAGGGGAAGUGAAACAUCUCAGUACCCUUAGGAAAAGAAAUCAAUUGAGAUUCCCUCAGUAGCGGCGAGCGAACGGGGAUCAGCCCAUUAAGUUAUGUGUGUUUUAGUGGAACGCUCUGGGAAGUGCGAACGUAGAGGGUGAUAUUCCCGUACACGAAAGGGCACACAUAAUGAUGACGAGUAGGGCGAGGCACGUGAAACCUUGUCUGAAUAUGGGGGGACCAUCCUCCAAGGCUAAAUACUCCUGACUGACCGAUAGUGAACCAGUACCGUGAGGGAAAGGCGAAAAGAACCCCUGUGAGGGGAGUGAAAUAGAUCCUGAAACCGCAUGCAUACAAGCAGUGGGAGCACCUUCGUGGUGUGACUGCGUACCUUUUGUAUAAUGGGUCAGCGACUUAUAUUCAGUAGCGAGGUUAACCGUAUAGGGGAGCCGUAGAGAAAUCGAGUCUUAAUAGGGCGUUUAGUUGCUGGGUAUAGACCCGAAACCAGGCGAUCUAUCCAUGAGCAGGUUGAAGGUUGGGUAACACUAACUGGAGGACCGAACCCACUGUCGUUGAAAAGCCAGGGGAUGACUUGUGGAUAGGGGUGAAAGGCUAAUCAAGCCUGGUGAUAGCUGGUUCUCCCCGAAAGCUAUUUAGGUAGCGCCUCGGACGAAUACCAUAGGGGGUAGAGCACUGUUUCGGCUAGGGGGUCAUCCCGACUUACCAAACCGAUGCAAACUCCGAAUACCUAUGAGUACUAUCCGGGAGACAGACUGCGGGUGCUAACGUCCGUAGUCAAGAGGAAAACAAUCCAGACCGCAGCUAAGGCCCCAAAAUCAUAGUUAAGUGGGAAACGAUGUGGGAAGGCAUAGACAGCUAGGAGGUUGGCUUAGAAGCAGCCACCCUUUAAAGAAAGCGUAAUAGCUCACUAGUCGAGUCGGCCUGCGCGGAAGAUGUAACGGGGCUAAAACUAUGUGCCGAAGCUGCGGAUGUAUACUUUGUAUACGUGGUAGGGGAGCGUUCUGUAAGCCGAUGAAGGUGUGUUGAGAAGCAUGCUGGAGGUAUCAGAAGUGCGAAUGCUGACGUGAGUAACGACAAAACGGGUGAAAAACCCGUUCGCCGAAAGACCAAGGGUUCCAGUCCAACGUUAAUCGGGGCUGGGUGAGUCGACCCCUAAGGCGAGGCCGAAAGGCGUAGUCGAUGGGAAAAUGGUUAAUAUUCCAUUACUUCUGUAAUGCGAUGAGAGGACGGAGAAGGCUAAAUCAGCCUGGCGUUGGUUGUCCAGGUGAAAGGAUGUAGGCAUGUAUCUUAGGCAAAUCCGGGGUACUCUAUGCUGAGAUCUGAUAGCAAGCUGUACUUGUACAGCGAAGUGGUUGAUGCCAUGCUUCCAGGAAAAGUCUCUAAGCUUCAGUUACACAGGAAUCGUACCCGAAACCGACACAGGUGGUCAGGUCGAGUAGACCAAGGCGCUUGAGAGAACUCUGCUGAAGGAACUAGGCAAAAUGGUACCGUAACUUCGGGAGAAGGUACGCUGUUGUUGGUGAUGGAACUCGCUUCCUGAGCUGACGACAGCCGCAGAAACCAGGCCGCUGCAACUGUUUAUUAAAAACAUAGCACUCUGCAAACACGAAAGUGGACGUAUAGGGUGUGAUGCCUGCCCGGUGCUGGAAGGUUAAUUGAUGGGGUUAGCGUAAGCGAAGCUCUUGAUCGAAGCCCCAGUAAACGGCGGCCGUAACUAUAACGGUCCUAAGGUAGCGAAAUUCCUUGUCGGGUAAGUUCCGACCUGCACGAAUGGCAUAAUGAUGGCGGCGCUGUCUCCAGCAGAGGCUCAGUGAAAUCGAAAUCGCUGUGAAGAUGCAGUGUACCCGCGGCUAGACGGAAAGACCCCGUGAACCUUUACUGCAGCUUGACACUGAACUUUGACCUUACUUGUGUAGGAUAGGUGGGAGGCUUUGAAGCUGGAACGCUAGUUCCAGUGGAGCCGUCCUUGAAAUACCACCCUGGUAAUGUUGAGGUUCUAACUCUGUCCCGUGAUCCGGGACGAGGACCGUGUCUGGUGGGUAGUUUGACUGGGGCGGUCUCCUCCUAAAGAGUAACGGAGGAGUACGAAGGUGCGCUCAGCGUGGUCGGAAAUCACGCGUAGAGUAUAAAGGCAAAAGCGCGCUUAACUGCGAGACCCACAAGUCGAGCAGGUACGAAAGUAGGUCUUAGUGAUCCGGUGGUUCUGUAUGGAAGGGCCAUCGCUCAACGGAUAAAAGGUACUCUGGGGAUAACAGGCUGAUACCGCCCAAGAGUUCAUAUCGACGGCGGUGUUUGGCACCUCGAUGUCGGCUCAUCUCAUCCUGGGGCUGAAGCAGGUCCCAAGGGUAUGGCUGUUCGCCAUUUAAAGAGGUACGCGAGCUGGGUUUAGAACGUCGUGAGACAGUUCGGUCCCUAUCUACCGUGGGCGCUGGAAAUUUGAGAGGAUCUGCUCCUAGUACGAGAGGACCAGAGUGGACGAACCUCUGGUGUACCGGUUGUGACGCCAGUCGCAUCGCCGGGUAGCUAUGUUCGGAAGGGAUAACCGCUGAAAGCAUCUAAGCGGGAAGCCUACCUCAAGAUAAGAUUUCCCUAGGACUUUAUGUCCUCUAAAGAGCCGUUCGAGACUAGGACGUUGAUAGGUUGGAUGUGGAAGCAUAGUGAUAUGUGAAGCUGACCAAUACUAAUUGCUCGUGAGGCUUGACUAUACAACACCC